GACGAACGCUGGCGGCGUGCUUAACACAUGCAAGUCGAACGGAAAGGCCCUGCUUUUGUGGGGUGCUCGAGUGGCGAACGGGUGAGUAACACGUGAGUAACCUGCCCUUGACUUUGGGAUAACUUCAGGAAACUGGGGCUAAUGCCGGAUAGGAGCUCCUGCUGCAUGGUCGGGGUUGGAAAGUUUCGGCGGUUGGGGAUGGACUCGCGGCUUAUCAGCUUGUUGGUGGGGUAGUGGCUUACCAAGGCUUUGACGGGUAGCCGGCCUGAGAGGGUGACCGGCCACAUUGGGACUGAGAUACGGCCCAGACUCCUACGGGAGGCAGCAGUGGGGAAUAUUGCACAAUGGGCGGAAGCCUGAUGCAGCAACGCCGCGUGCGGGAUGACGGCCUUCGGGUUGUAAACCGCUUUCGCCUGUGACGAAGCGUGAGUGACGGUAAUGGGUAAAGAAGCACCGGCUAACUACGUG
This 468-nucleotide ribosomal RNA is filed under the name uncultured bacterium. Its description in RNAcentral is "partial 16S ribosomal RNA". It matches the Rfam family "Bacterial small subunit ribosomal RNA", at positions 28 to 507 of the family's 1533-position model. The record is from RNAcentral.